ACUGCUCAGUAACACGUGGACAACCUGCCCUUAGGUUGGGUAUAAACCCGGGAAACUGGGUAUAAUACCCGAUAGGUCUCGAUUGCUGGAAUGCAUCGAGAUUUAAAGCUCCGGCGCCUAAGGAUGGGUCUGCGGCCUAUCAGGUAGUAGUGGGUGUAGCGUACCUACUAGCCUACGACGGGUACGGGUUGUGAGAGCAAGAGCCCGGAGAUGGAUUCUGAGACACGAAUCCGGGCCCUACGGGGUGCAGCAGGCGCGAAAACUUUACAAUGCUGGCAACAGCGAUAAGGGAACCUCGAGUGCCAGGUUACAAAUCUGGCUGUCGAGAUGCCUAAAAAGCAUUUCAUAGCAAGGGCCGGGCAAGACCGGUGCCAGCCGCCGCGGUAACACCGGCGGCUCGAGUGGUAACCGUUAUUAUUGGGUCUAAAGGGUCUGUAGCCGGCCGGAUAAGUCUCUUGAGAAAUCUGGCAGCUUAACUGUCAGGCUUUCAGGAGAUACUGUCUGGCUCGAGGCCGGGAGAGGUGAGAGGUACUUCAGGGGUAGGGGUGAAAUCUUGUAAUCCUUGAAGGACCACCAGUGGCGAAGGCGUCUCACCAGAACGGACCUGACGGCAAGGGACGAAAGCUAGGGGCACGAACCGGAUUAGAUACCCGGGUAGUCCUAGCCGUAAACGAUACUCGCUAGGUGUCGGCCACGGUGCGACCGUUGUCGGUGCCGUAGGGAAGCCGUGAAGCGAGCCACCUGGGAAGUACGGCCGCAAGGCUGAAACUUAAAGGAAUUGGCGGGGGAGCAC
This 793-nucleotide ribosomal RNA is filed under the name uncultured archaeon. Its description in RNAcentral is "bacterial SSU rRNA". It matches the Rfam family "Archaeal small subunit ribosomal RNA", at positions 85 to 879 of the family's 1478-position model. The record is from RNAcentral.